AUACCAGCUUGCUGGUAGGCGUCGAGCGGCGGACGGGUGAGUAACACUUAGGAAUCUACCUAGUAGUGGGGGAUAGCUCGGGGAAACUCGAAUUAAUACCGCAUACGACCUACGGGAGAAAGGGGGCAACUUGUUGCUCUCGCUAUUAGAUGAGCCUAAGUCGGAUUAGCUAGUUGGUGGGGUAAAGGCCUACCAAGGCGACGAUCUGUAGCUGGUCUGAGAGGAUGAUCAGCCACACCGGGACUGAGACACGGCCCGGACUCCUACGGGAGGCAGCAGUGGGGAAUAUUGGACAAUGGGGGCAACCCUGAUCCAGCCAUGCCGCGUGUGUGAAGAAGGCCUUUUGGUUGUAAAGCACUUUAAGCAGUGAAGAAGACCUAACGGUUAAUACCCGUUAGCGAUGACAUUAGCUG
This 413-nucleotide ribosomal RNA is filed under the name uncultured Psychrobacter sp. Its description in RNAcentral is "bacterial SSU rRNA". It matches the Rfam family "Bacterial small subunit ribosomal RNA", at positions 72 to 481 of the family's 1533-position model. The record is from RNAcentral. Lineage: Bacteria; Pseudomonadati; Pseudomonadota; Gammaproteobacteria; Moraxellales; Moraxellaceae.